GAUAUUGUGACGUCACAGAUGAAGGUUGUUCUGCUCUGACUUCAGCUCUGAGAUCAAACCCCUCACACCUGAGAGAACUGAGUCUGUCUGAGAAUAAAAUAAGAGAUUCAGGAGUGAAGCGUCUCUGUGCUGUACUGGAGGAUCCUCGCUGUAAACUGGAGAUACUGUGGUUGAGAGAUUGUGGCGUCACAGAUGAAGGUUGUUCUGCUCUGACUUCAGCUCUGAGAUCAAACCCCUCACACCUGAGAGAACUGAAUCUGUCUGAGAAUAAUCUACGACUAUCAGAAGUGAAGUUACUCUCUGAUCUGAAAGAUGAUCCACGUUAUAAACUGGAGACAUUAGACUACUGACUCUCAGUAUUUAGACGUCAGUUCAGUUUCCUCAGGAUCAGCUGAUGGUGAAUAAGAGCCGCUACAGGAAUCAGUGAUGUGAAGUUAAAUGAAUGCAUGGAAGUGUAAUGUGUGGAGCAGUGUUGAUGAACAGAAGAAACAAGCUUCAAGGAAACUAAACAAAUUCAGCAAAAGAUGUUUUUAUCCAAAGGACAUUAAGAAAAUAGUUGAUAUGUUUAUACAGCACUGAAAACCAAGAAAAUCAAUGUGAUAUUUUCAGUGAUGGGCUUAUAUCCUGAGCUGUCCAGAUUUAAUAUAGAUCAUCAUAACUGUGUAUCCUGAAAUUCAGAAAUAGAAAACUUAAUCACUUGUACAUUUUCUUAUAUUUUAAUCCAGUCUUACAUUUGAGUGUGUAACCUUUGUAUAUAUGUGUUUAUUUUUAUUAAAAUGUUUGUCAUCUGGAGAAGAGGAGCUUCCACUUGAUAUCAUCAUGAGAAAUGUGUGUCCUGCUGUAUCUUGAUUAAAAUACACUUCAAAACUCUUAUUUUGAAAUGAGCUUCAGUGAUUUAGAGCUUCACACAUAAAUAUUUUACUUUUAAUUAUUUGUAUUUUCAUUUGUUUGCAUGGUCUUAAAACCUUAAAACAGUCUUAAAACAUAUGUAAAAGUACCUAUUCAAAUAAAAUGAGAAUCAAAGCACAAUAUCAAUUAGAAAUGAAAUACAGAAUAUAGACUUAAUAUUCACCAAAAUAAAUGAAACGCCGGCACAGGUUUAUCAUCUGAAGAGAUUUGGAGUUCUCUGAGGAUGAAAUAGCUUGGAUAUAUUUCUGGAUUUCUGUUUCAAAAGAAAUGAAUAAUAGAUGUUGAUUGAUUGAUCAGUUUUGGUGAUUAAUCAGCAUUGAUAGUCGAUCGCUAACUAUCGGCUAUCGGCUAAAAUCCAUGCUGAUAAUCAAGAGCGUAAAGGCCUAAAUCCAUGAUGCACAUAGACACCAAUCACAGAUUGAUAAGGUAAGUUUAUAUGUUGUUGUUACACAUAACAUAUUAAUGAUCCAUUGACCAUUUUAACAAUGUCCUUACUACAUUUCUGUGUCUUCGCCGCUGGAGAACCCUUGCUGUCUGUGGAAGCUCUGAGAGAUCAUGGAUUACAUCAAAACAUUAUCAUAACUUUUGUUCUCAAAGGGAUUGUGUUCCUUUAAAGGGAAACUUCAGCCAUAAAUGAAAUUUAUCAUAAUUUACUCAUCCCCAUGUCCUUCCAAAUCUUUUUCAUUCCUUAAUGAAUCCAGAAAAAAUGAUCAGAGAUUCCAAGAAAAUAUGAAGCAGCACAACCAUUUCAACACUGAUAUUAAGAGAAUCAGAUCAGUAUAUGAGAAUGAUUGCUGAAGAUCAUGUGACACUGAAGACUGGAGUAAUGACUGGAGAAAAUUCAGUUUUUCUGUGUUUGAAGUGUUUUCCUGCAUUUGUUUGUGAGGUAUCUUGUCCUGUGUGUUCUGCCAUGCAUUCAGAAGACUUUAUUGAAGCACAUGCAAGUACCUGUGGGGAAAAGUUAUUAUUUUUAUUUUAUGCUUUGUGUUUUCAUGAAAUUAUUGGUUUAACCUACAGUCCUUACCAUUAGUUGUUUGUGUGUGGUAGUCAUUUUUAUUUAGCUAAAUUGAUUUUCUUUCAGAGCUGACGAUAGACCAAACCAAGAUUUCAUUGUAACGGGACAAAAGCAAGACAAGCACAAGAGAUGCAAUUAAGUUUAAUUUAUAGGGACUUUUUUAAUUAAUUUUUGUUUAAGUAAUAUUAGAUUAUUUGAGGGAGGGAGCACUGGGAAAAAUUGGAAGUAUUCAAUUACAGACUUUCAGAAUGACAAUUUCAGGAAGGUUUAUUAGCAUUACAGCUGGGUAAAAAAACAUUGAUGUCUCAAUUUUAAUCGAACCAAUCUCAUCUUUACAAACUGAUUGGUAAAUCCCAAGGAUGGAUCGUCUCUUUACAGCUGAUGAAUGAACAGAACAUUAUAGCACAUCUCUCAUCCAUUAAACCACUUUGUGCUUCGUUACUUUGAAUUCUGUCCAUCUUAUCUUGAAAUUUAAACAAUAAAUAUUGCCGUAUUUCUUUAGAUUGAGACUGCAGACACUACAGCCUUGCUUGAGCUUUCUGAAAGAAUCGUAGCAUGUGGUACACAGGAUCCUAACAUGUGAUGAAAGGAAGACAUUGUCAGAAGAAGGGAGCAGCAGUAAGGAGAGCAGGGUUGAAGAUGACAGUGAACAGGUGAUAAAACAAACUGCACUAAAGGAGAUGCAGAACAAGACAAGAUCACCGUCAGCAGUUUCAUGCAGUGGAUUACUGGUCAGGGACAUGUCUCCAUUACUUCUGCACAUUUGAUCCUGACUGUCAGCUUCGAUAUGGUCAGCAUAGUUUCUGCUUGCCUCUAGUAAAUGCAUGUUCCUGUAC
This is a long non-coding RNA of Carassius auratus (goldfish), 2760 nucleotides long. RefSeq lists it as uncharacterized. The record is from RefSeq and is a predicted model, not a curated record. The transcript has 4 exons. Lineage: Eukaryota; Metazoa; Chordata; Actinopteri; Cypriniformes; Cyprinidae.